AGGACGAACGCUGGCGGCGUGCUUAACACAUGCAAGUCGAGCGGUAAGGCCUUUCGGGGUACACGAGCGGCGAACGGGUGAGUAACACGUGGGUGAUCUGCCCUGCACUUCGGGAUAAGCCUGGGAAACUGGGUCUAAUACCGGAUAUGACCUCCUAUCGCAUGGUGGGUGGUGGAAAGAUUUAUCGGUGCAGGAUGGGCCCGCGGCCUAUCAGCUUGUUGGUGGGGUAAUGGCCUACCAAGGCGACGACGGGUAGCCGACCUGAGAGGGUGACCGGCCACACUGGGACUGAGACACGGCCCAGACUCCUACGGGAGGCAGCAGUGGGGAAUAGUUGCACAAUGGGCGAAAGCCUGAUGCAGCGACGCCGCGUGAGGAUGACGGCCUUCGGGUUACGUAAACCUCUUUCAGCGAGGACGAAGCG
Molecule: ribosomal RNA, 424 nt
Filed under: uncultured soil bacterium
Lineage: Bacteria
Description: bacterial SSU rRNA
Rfam family: Bacterial small subunit ribosomal RNA
Source: RNAcentral